This is a long non-coding RNA of Myripristis murdjan (pinecone soldierfish), 942 nucleotides long. RefSeq lists it as uncharacterized. NCBI's taxonomy places the organism in Eukaryota, Metazoa, Chordata, Actinopteri, Holocentriformes, Holocentridae. The transcript is spliced from 3 exons. The record is from RefSeq and is a predicted model, not a curated record.
CUGUAUGUGUGUAUGUGUGAGCGUGUGUGUCUGCACACCUUCAAGGAAAGUAUUCACCAUAGAGAGAAGAGUAGAAGAGAUCUAAACCGACAGAAAGGCAACUCUGAAAGCAGAAGACAUCUGACCUGUCUACACCUCAAAGCGCCAUCUUCCGCCUCGCCUUUUGUUGGCUUCGAACAGCCUUUAUCAUCAUGGGAGGAGGUGGAAGUGAGGAGUGGGAUGAAAAGCACACGGACACGAGGCAAAGCCAGCCCCAGAAACAGCAGGACACAACGAGCACAGACUCGGAGAGCGGCUGCAGGAGGUGCUGCAUGAAAACAAGGAACUGUCUGAUGAGCCCGGAGUGCGGCAGGGCUCUUCAGAUCUCCAGCAUCAUCGCCUGGUGCGGCAUGUGCAUCAACAUGUGGACGUAAUCUGACCUUGGGCAUCAGGAUGAUCUUCUCUACGACGAAGCAGACUUCAUUUUCAGCAUAUUUUCCUCCUUGCAAGAGAGUCACGCACCUUAUCGCUUUGCUGUAAUCGGAGAUGAUGAAUAUUCAUCUUAUAUACAUUACCAUAUCAAGACGCCUGUAAUUUCAUAUUUAUAAUCAUUAUUUAUGCACUAUAGACUUCCCUUAGCAUCACUCAUUCCCAAUGUGAUUUUUUUUUCUGUUUAUGUGAAAAAAGGUCAACCAAAAUAUAAGUAUAUAUUUUUUCAAGAUAACUGAUCAUCAGUAUGACUGUAAUCUUCAUUCUCCCUGCAAAACAUUUAGUUACCUUUAGUUGAGAAACAGAUCACUUGUUCUUGCAUUAAGUCAAGCCUGUGGAUUUGUAAUACAGGUAUAGUCUUUGAGAUUUUCUUUUUUUUUUUUUUUGUGAGAAUCUGGUAGCAGUGUCUUGCUACCAAAUGUAGCACUGCAAUAUUAGUAUCAUGAUAAUUAAGAAUAAAUGACAGAAUGUAAA